This 484-nucleotide ribosomal RNA is filed under the name uncultured bacterium. RNAcentral describes it as "partial 16S ribosomal RNA". It matches the Rfam family "Bacterial small subunit ribosomal RNA", at positions 30 to 507 of the family's 1533-position model. The record is from RNAcentral.
AUUGAACGCUGGCGGCAGGCCUAACACAUGCAAGUCGAGCGGAUGAAGGGAGCUUGCUCCUGGAUUCAGCGGCGGACGGGUGAGUAAUGCCUAGGAAUCUGCCUGGUCGUGGGGGAUAACGUCCGGAAACGGGCGCUAAUACCGCAUACGUCCUGAGGGAGAAAGGGGGGGAUCUUCGGACCUCACGCUAUCAGAUGAGCCUAGGUCGGAUUAGCUAGUUGGUGGGGUAAAGGCCUACCAAGGCGACGAUCCGUAACUGGUCUGAGAGGAUGAUCAGUCACACUGGAACUGAGACACGGUCCAGACUCCUACGGGAGGCAGCAGUGGGGAAUAUUGGACAAUGGGCGAAAGCCUGAUCCAGCCAUGCCGCGUGUAUGAAGAAGGUCUUCGGAUUGUAAAGCACUUUAAGUUGGGAGGAAGGGCAGUAAGUUAAUACCUUGCUGUUUUGACGUUACCAACAGAAUAAGCACCGGCUAACUUCGUG